UAUUGUAAGAGUUUUUAAUGAAAAAACAAGUGACAUUUAUAUGCAAUGCAAAUAAUUUUAUAUACAAAUCCUUUUAUAAUGCAAUUUUUACUAAAUUUAUUCGCUAGAGAAAUAUAAAUUUGAAACAAAAUUAAAUCUUCGGUUCCCGUUUGUUAUAAAUGCACUUAAUUAAAACUACUUUUACGGUUUAGUUUCGCUUCUAUUAUUUACUUUUUAUUAUUUUUGACGUUUCAAAAACAUCAUAUUUUUCUUGAAAUGUAAACGUAUAGAUAUAAACGUAUAGACAAUUUCUUUUGUUACUUACACACUAAAUAUAGUGUAGAAAUAGUAGCAAUCUAUAAAUUCACAAUUAAGUGCGUAAUUAACGUAUCACAAUUAAGUGAACAAGUGUUCAUCAGUCUGCGGUCAGGAGCGAGGGUGGCCAUCCACAACCUGCAGAGCGCUAAACGCCGUAGCACAAUGCUGUGCUGAAAACAAUUGACUCUAAUGAUCGAGUUCUUUAAUUUAUAUAUGAGAUAGAACACACAUGAAUUGCUUUGUGUUUGCGUGUGUACAUUUUAAAGGUGUGCCGGCCGGGGAAAAGUGCGCCUGGUUCCCGAAAAUCAAAUAUUUUUCACAAAAAGCACUAAUUGCAGCCGAAAAACCAAUUCGGAUCCCGAUCCGGAAUUAAUGGUAGACAGAAUCACUACUAUUACACCAAUAAGGCGAUGUUUGUUUAUAAGCCAAUACCUAAAAUAACAUUUUAUUUGUUUCUGUUUUAAGUGUGUCGAUGCGCCUGAAUUAUGUUCUGUUUUUAAUGUUAUGAAUUAUUAUUAAAGUAACUCAUAUGUGUAUGUAUUUUAAUACUUCAAAAAUAA
Molecule: long non-coding RNA, 857 nt
Organism: Bombyx mori (domestic silkworm)
Lineage: Eukaryota; Metazoa; Arthropoda; Insecta; Lepidoptera; Bombycidae
Exons: 3
Source: RefSeq, a predicted model, not a curated record